GGAGCAACGCCGCGUGAGUGAAGAAGGCUUUCGGGUUGUAAAACUCUGUCUUCAGGGAAGAAAAAAAUGACGGUACCUGAGGAGGAAGCCCCGGCUAACUACGUGCCAGCAGCCGCGGUAAUA
RNAcentral lists this ribosomal RNA (123 nucleotides) under uncultured bacterium. RNAcentral's name for it is "partial 16S ribosomal RNA". It matches the Rfam family "Bacterial small subunit ribosomal RNA", at positions 388 to 525 of the family's 1533-position model. The record is from RNAcentral.